GAUGAACGCUGGCGGCGUGCCUAAUACAUGCAAGUCGAGCGAACAGAUAAGGAGCUUGCUCCUUUGACGUUAGCGGCGGACGGGUGAGUAACACGUGGAUAACCUACCUAUAAGACUGGGAUAACUUCGGGAAACCGGAGCUAAUACCGGAUAAUAUAUUGAACCGCAUGGUUCAAUAGUGAAAGGCGGCUUUGCUGUCACUUAUAGAUGGAUCCGCGCCGCAUUAGCUAGUUGGUAAGGUAACGGCUUACCAAGGCAACGAUGCGUAGCCGACCUGAGAGGGUGAUCGGCCACACUGGAACUGAGACACGGUCCAGACUCCUACGGGAGGCAGCAGUAGGGAAUCUUCCGCAAUGGGCGAAAGCCUGACGGAGCAACGCCGCGUGAGUGAUGAAGGUCUUCGGAUCGUAAAACUCUGUUAUCAGGGAAGAACAAAUGUGUAAGUAACUGUGCACAUCUUGACGGUACCUGAUCAGAAAGCCACGGCUAACUACGUG
RNAcentral lists this ribosomal RNA (497 nucleotides) under uncultured bacterium. RNAcentral's name for it is "partial 16S ribosomal RNA". It matches the Rfam family "Bacterial small subunit ribosomal RNA", at positions 28 to 507 of the family's 1533-position model. The record is from RNAcentral.